GGGCGCAAGCGUUGUCCGGAAUUAUUGGGCGGAAAGAGCUCGUAGGCGGUCUGUCACGUCUGCUGUGAAAACCCGGGGCUUAACCCCGGGCUUGCAGUGGAUACGGGCAGACUAGAGGCAGGUAGGGGAGAAUGGAAUUCCCGGUGUAGCGGUGAAAUGCGCAGAUAUCGGGAGGAACACCGGUGGCGAAGGCGGUUCUCUGGGCCUGACCUGACGCUGAGGAGCGAAAGCGUGGGGAGCGAACAGG
RNAcentral lists this ribosomal RNA (247 nucleotides) under uncultured bacterium. RNAcentral describes it as "partial 16S ribosomal RNA". It matches the Rfam family "Bacterial small subunit ribosomal RNA", at positions 530 to 776 of the family's 1533-position model. The record is from RNAcentral.